GGCAAAUUCGGGUUUGGGUUAUUGUGGGCGUUUCUCAAACGGCCUGACGCGAUGAAUCGUUCACAUAUACCUUACUUUCAAUCAUCUUCACAAGUCAAGGGUUAUUGAUUCGUUACCUCGCACUAACCCUUGACAUCAGUCGCUAUUUAAAAGUUGGGCUCGAGAAAAAGGAUGACGCAAUACGCUAAAAUUAAUCAGCCAAUGGGAUUUCUUGUUUCAGAUGAAAGUUUGGUAAGGGAAUAAACAGAAAGGAAAAAAUGGCGUCCGUUGACGAAAAGAUAUGUGAAAAACAUCAAAUCGAUCAUUUGACUGAAAACCAAAAGCUUUCAAUAUCAUGUAUCAGAGAAGGAAAAGAUGUUUUUAUUGGGACUAAAACCGGCAGUGGUAAAUCGCUAUCUUACGAAGUUGUUCCCAUUAUUUUGGACAAUUUGUUUAAUUUGUUAAAACAUAGUCGACAAACGUACUUCGACAAUCCAUCAUUUUCAUUCGGAUCAUACCCCAAAUCCUCGUCUAAUUGUUUCUUCAAGCAAAACGAACUCCCGAAAAUCAAUCGACGGUAUCUGUCUUGUACUAAUUGGCCACAAAUUUUACACCAUAAUGCCUUCGCCAUGCGUGUUUACUGUUUAGUUUUGUUUUCGACCGAUAUAAAAGCCGUUGUCUGAUUGGUUUGCAGCUUCAGGCUGCAAACCAAUCAUAUGCUUCUUCUCGAGCCCAACUUUUAAAUAGCGACUGAUGUCAAGGGUUAGUGCGAGGUAACGAAUCAAUAACCCUUGACUUGUGAAGAUGACUUUCAAUAUAUGUACGGUUUCUUUCCGUUCCAAUGCCGUUCAUUCGAAGAAAAAGAUGUUUUUACACCUCCAAGUGCCUAAGAAUUUCGCUAGACUGUCUUACUUCCGGUUUAAUCGCACUGAAUCGAAAGAUGAAGUUCUGUCGUCAAUUGACGAGAAAACAACCAAUACGCCGGUUUCGAGAUACGUACGAGUUAUUUCCCUUUGGAGAACUCUCGUACAUAGUAAGGCGCGAAAGAAUUUGUUUACACGCGGGAGUGGGACAGAUAUUCAUCAUAGCGCAUUCAAAGUUCCACUAAAUGCACCUCCUAUACAGAAGAGUUCGUAUCUCGAAACUGACGUAUUAGACACCACCUGGAAAGCGACAGCCUUGAAGACCAAAGGGCACGCGGAGGAGGACAAUAGAAACAGAAGGAAACCAGUAAUCGCCAGAGCCGCGAGUUACGGACCUUGUUGCUGCCUUAUGUGCAGAAAUACUUGAAGACUGUCGUCGAUCGAAAGAUCAGAGCUCCCUGAAUUUCGAACCUUUUAUAUUGAGUGACUUCAGGUCAUUUUCAACUGUAUUCACAUCACCAGUAAUGACCUGACGAGCUGAACUGCAGUGGGAAGAAGAACUUGUAGGAGGGUUUUGUUUAAGGUGAUCUGUAUCUAGACACUGUAAAGUGCCACGUAUUAUUCAGCAGCGGAUCCAUGGUUUUGCUAAGAGAAGGGACAUGAUAGGGAUAUGGAGUCGUCUUUAUGCCCUAGAGUGGGUCCAGGGUCAAGCCCUGGUGGGGACCAGGGGGACAUUUUAAUGCAGUGUUAUAAGCUCUCGUAUCGGUAAAGUAAGUUCUUUAAUAAAUAGAAAACUUCCUUAAGUCGAGCUGAAGCCGCAAUUUACGUGAUCCCUAAUAUGUAAGAGUUCUAAUCGGCAGUGAUAAGCAUGCAAUUAUAAGUACUCGAUCCUUUUUGAAGAAGUCAAAAUUACAAAAUCUGAUUGAAUAUCAAUAAAAUUGUGUGUGUGUUGAGUCCCGAAGGGGAGGGCAUGGGAGGGGUUCACCCCCUCCCAGGGGGGGGGGGGGGGGGGCUCCCCUGGAAAAUCUUAAAAAGAUUGAUUCAAAAUGGUGCAUUUUAAUGCCUUUUCAACUGAAAUUCUUGUUCCUUCUUCCUUUCAUUUACAGUCACCACAUCCUUUAUAGAAUAUAAACAAAAAGAAUAAACUUGACUUAUUGAUUCAAAAUCAUUCAUUUUAAUGCAUUUCAGACUGAAAUUAUGGCCCCUUCUUGUUUUGAUGCAUAGUUAUCACUAUAAAAAAAAUAAUAGAAGAGCGGGAGGGGGGUGUCCGAACCCCAACCCCCCCCCCCCCCCUCCCAAAUCCACCACUGCACAAUCCAUCCAUCAUGUGUCAUUAUAUAGAGAGAGACCAGUCAAGUCGGCAAUAUAUUCUAUUCGACCUUGAACUUAUCGACGUUUCUGUGUAGUGCGAGACUGAAGGGCACCGAUCCAGUCAACCACCCAAACAUUUUAGCCCAGAAUUCAUACCCCUAUCAUUUUUAGAUCUCUUGCAGAUCUCGACUCAUAAAGGAUUCUGCGACUAGUUUAGACGUUUGUUUUGCGAACAACUUUUCCCGAAGUUUUAGAGCUUUUACCAAUCGGCUUAUAAAUGUUGCAUAAUUGGAUCAAUUUUUGCAAUAUUAUAACAAUUGUUUAGUUCAUUUAAUGAUAAUUCUUUCUCCAUGUUUUGGUACAUUGCAGGCUUAUACGGCAGACUGCCAUCACUGAAUUGCAUAUCAGACCGAUUGUGCAUCCCCCAAAGAAGACAAAUAACGAGACAAGGGGCUCUCACCACACUUAACGUUCUCAUUGGAGUAGGAGAGGGUUACUUUCCCGAUUUUUUUCUUUACGAGAAAUGAAAAGACCAGUGAUUUAAAGAACUGAAUGCAUGCCUACCUCGUCGACUUGGAAUUUGCGGAGCCGGAUUUGCCGACUGUUGGCAGCCCACUGAUCUCGCUCCUCUCGGGACUGCAUCAUCCUAGAUCUACACAAACUCGCAUACGUGCUGGGAGUAGCGAAGCGAACAAGGGUACAUCUUGUGUGUCUGUUUUCCCCGUCGGAAGUUAUAUCCAGCUGAGACAGGAAAAGCUUCCUGCGAGAAUCCACCGUUUUCUGUGUCAGUCUUCACACCUCGACUUCAUCAUUUUACAGUAAAACCCGAGAAUGGACGACCGUGCAUUAAGAAACGCGCUGAAGUAUCAUCAAUAUAAUAGAAAUCAAUGAAACUACAAGUUAACUAAUAGUGAAUCAUCUUUAACCCUCUGAUAGUAAAAUUCACCAUAUCAUAAGAAAUAAACAUCCUUA
Ostrea edulis (European flat oyster) is the source of this 3125-nucleotide long non-coding RNA. RefSeq lists it as uncharacterized. Lineage: Eukaryota; Metazoa; Mollusca; Bivalvia; Ostreida; Ostreidae. The transcript is spliced from 3 exons. The record is from RefSeq and is a predicted model, not a curated record.